This 557-nucleotide long non-coding RNA is filed under the name Rattus norvegicus (Norway rat). Its description in RNAcentral is "long non-coding RNA NONRATT003682". The record is from RNAcentral. Lineage: Eukaryota; Metazoa; Chordata; Mammalia; Rodentia; Muridae.
GGCACUGUCCUCUCACUCUCAGUUUUAAAAUGAAGACCUGGGAUUACUUUUUGCUGCAAUUAUUAUUGAAAAAGUUGAUACCUAGUUUAGGUGAAUUUGACAAGUUACUAAUUUCCAAACAUUUUUCUAAUGAUUUUUCAUAAUUAAAAUGUCAAAAGCCCUAAAACGUGGUUGUGGGCUUGGAGUGUCGGUUGUUCUCAAGCACAGGUUGUUUUGCAAAAACCCUUGUAGAGUGCGUUGGUAUGAAGAACCUCAAGUCCUGGGCCAGCAUCAACCGAGGAGCCAUCGUUCUUUCCAGCCUUCUUCAGAGUUGUGACCAGGACGUUGUAAACAAAGUCAAAGCUGGACUGAAAACCCUGAUUCCUACCUUGGAAAAAACCAAAAGCACCAGCAAAGGCAUCCAGACUCUGCUUGAGAAGUUGACUGCAUAGGCGCGCCAGAUGAGCAAGCUGGAACCCGCUUCCCGAGGGGAAGGGUGGAAUCUGUCACACUCAUAACUGGAUGCCCUAUGCAUGUACUUGUUAAAGGACCUAUUUAUAUAUAAAAUUGUAAAAGAG